This 77-nucleotide transfer RNA is filed under the name Hominilimicola fabiformis. RNAcentral describes it as "tRNA-Arg". It matches the Rfam family "tRNA". From Rfam's summary of the family: Transfer RNA (tRNA) molecules are approximately 80 nucleotides in length. RNAcentral also lists the same sequence under 1 other name. Lineage: Bacteria; Bacillati; Bacillota; Clostridia; Eubacteriales; Oscillospiraceae. The record is from RNAcentral.
GCGUCUGUAGCUCAGUUGGAUAGAGCACAAGAUUCCGAUUCUUGGUGUCGCGGGUUCAAAUCCUGUCAGACGUGCCA